RNAcentral lists this ribosomal RNA (424 nucleotides) under uncultured bacterium. RNAcentral describes it as "bacterial SSU rRNA". It matches the Rfam family "Bacterial small subunit ribosomal RNA", at positions 355 to 776 of the family's 1533-position model. The record is from RNAcentral.
UGAGGAAUAUUGGUCAAUGGGCGGAAGCCUGAACCAGCCAUGCCGCGUGCAGGAAGACGGCCCUAUGGGUUGUAAACUGCUUUUGUAUGGGAAUAAUAAGGGUUACGUGUAACCCGAUGAAGGUACCGUAUGAAUAAGCAUCGGCUAACUCCGUGCCAGCAGCCGCGGUAAUACGGAGGAUGCAGGCGUUAUCCGGAUUUAUUAGGUUUAAAGGGUGCGUAGGCGGCCUGUUAAGUCAGUGGUGAAAGUUUGCGGCUUAACCGUAAAAUUGCCAUUGAUACUGACAGGCUUGAAUGUAGUAGAGGUAGGCGGAAUGUGUAGUGUAGCGGUGAAAUGCUUAGAUAUUACACAGAACACCGAUUGCGAAGGCAGCUUGCCAUGCUACGAUUGACGCUGAGGCACGAAAGCGUGGGGAUCGAACAGG